Transfer RNA from Ipomoea nil (Japanese morning glory), 72 nucleotides. It matches the Rfam family "tRNA". Rfam says of the family: Transfer RNA (tRNA) molecules are approximately 80 nucleotides in length. Their secondary structure includes four short double-helical elements and three loops (D, anti-codon, and T loops). NCBI's taxonomy places the organism in Eukaryota, Viridiplantae, Streptophyta, Magnoliopsida, Solanales, Convolvulaceae. The record is from Rfam.
GCCUCCGUAGCAUAGUGGUAGUGCGUUCGCUUUGUAAGCGAAAGGUCAUGAGUUCAAUCCUCGUCGGGGGCU